CCUACCUCGUCCUGGCGUGGUUUUCGGCCCGGGAACGGCCGCCAUAGUGCAACGCGGCAGGGCGACUUCGCCUUGAUGCUUGACGGAAUCUUUCAAAUUCGAACGAACAUGUUCUGGAAUGCGACAGGCCCUGUGACGAAGCGUGAACAUCGGGCUGUUUGGGUGAAUCAAAACUAACAAAAAGCCCUUAUUUUAUCGAUGUAACAUACGAUUCACCGUUUCAAAUAAACCAUCUCUUUAUGCUGUUAUUUAAGCUGAUCUUCAAACGCCUCCCUUAGUUUGAACCUAUCAGGCGAGACAAAAGUUUCG
This 309-nucleotide unclassified non-coding RNA is filed under the name Hevea brasiliensis (rubber tree). The record is from RNAcentral. Lineage: Eukaryota; Viridiplantae; Streptophyta; Magnoliopsida; Malpighiales; Euphorbiaceae.